CACGUCAGUGCGCUUUGCUGAUGUAGACAUAAAGCGCGCUUACGUGGACGCAAUUUGCUGCCACAUCAGCAAAUCACGCUGACGUGG
This is a non-coding RNA of Gossypium hirsutum (cotton), 87 nucleotides long. NCBI's taxonomy places the organism in Eukaryota, Viridiplantae, Streptophyta, Magnoliopsida, Malvales, Malvaceae. The record is from Rfam.